UACGUAGGGGGCAAGCGUUGUCCGGAUUUAUUGGGCGUAAAGAGCGUGUAGGCGGCCAUACAGGUCAGCUGUGAAAACUCGAGGCUCAACCUCGAGACGUCGGUUGAAACCGUGUGGCUAGAGUCCGGAAGAGGAGAGUGGAAUUCCCGGUGUAGCGGUGAAAUGCGCAGAUAUCGGGAAGAACACCCGUGGCGAAGGCGACUUACUGGACACAUACUGACGCUGAGGUGCGAAAGCGUGGGGAGCAAACAGG
This 253-nucleotide ribosomal RNA is filed under the name uncultured bacterium. RNAcentral describes it as "partial 16S ribosomal RNA". It matches the Rfam family "Bacterial small subunit ribosomal RNA", at positions 524 to 776 of the family's 1533-position model. The record is from RNAcentral.